CCUUUAGAUGUUCUGGGCCGCACGCGUGCUACACUGAGUGGAUCAGCGGGUCAGGUUGCGCGAAAGCGUUUCCUAAUCUUUAAAUCCGCUCGUGAUGGGGAUUGACGGUUGCAAUUUUCUGUCAUGAACGAGGAAUACCUUGUAAGCGCGGGUCAUCAUCCCGCGCUGAAUACGUCCCUGCCCUUUGUACACACCGCCCGUCGCUCCUACCGAUUGAGUGGUCCGGUGAGGCUUUGGGAUCUGAGCGGAAAGAGCGUUUCGCUGUUUCUGCUCGGAAAACUCAGUCGAACCUUAUCAUUUAGAGGAAGGAGAAGUCGUAACA
RNAcentral lists this ribosomal RNA (322 nucleotides) under uncultured eukaryote. RNAcentral's name for it is "partial 18S ribosomal RNA". It matches the Rfam family "Eukaryotic small subunit ribosomal RNA", at positions 1470 to 1796 of the family's 1831-position model. The record is from RNAcentral.